Long non-coding RNA from Bombus impatiens (common eastern bumble bee), 1416 nucleotides. RefSeq lists it as uncharacterized. The record is from RefSeq and is a predicted model, not a curated record. The transcript has 3 exons. Lineage: Eukaryota; Metazoa; Arthropoda; Insecta; Hymenoptera; Apidae.
GCUUAACAGUCGACACAAUGCCACGUACACAGGCGUGCAGCUGCGCUCGCGAACGUGAGCCCAAGCCAGACCAGCGUGCGGCACACGUUGUCAUUUCCGUCGUGAAACAUUUGACCACGUUAUAACGCUAAUAUCGCGCGUCACCGUGUCAAGGGUGAGAGUUGAAUAUUUAAUUCGCGGUAUUGUCGGAGCCCUCGGUGCCGCUCGAUUGCUUCUUUCUUUCCGUCUCCUCUGCGCACUCGGUUCCGACUAAUUAAUCGUGAGAUUUCUUUUGCUGCUGCUUGCGUCACGAGCAACGAUUCCGAUAAUGGAUGGCGGACGUUCAUAUAUUACGUAGAUGUACUCUUCAUAAACUUUUUCGAAGGGUCUUGCUGCGAACACGUUGAAUGGUAACCAUGGAAAAUUGGGUAAACCCGGCCGCCGGAAUAUUGCACGUUGUCAUCAAAGGAUUAAUUGAAAAUGGAGAUGACAUUGUCGCCGCUUGAAAAUUACUGGGAAUGUGGAUUAUCGAAGCGCCAGGUAUAAACGUAUCUCUAUUUAUAAUGUCACUUCGAAUUGGGAUAUCUGAAUUGACGGCAUUAUGAUUGCAACAAGCCCAAAGGAUAAUCGCAAGUAAUACGAUAAUUACUGAGGAAGCGCAUUUUUAACACUGAUUAAUUAAGACGAAAACUUCAGUUUAGUACACGCAUUUCAUUCUUAUUAUUUGCAAUACCGUUUUACAUUUACAAUGGUAAAUGAACAGCAGUAAAGUAACUAUGUCAGAAUAAACCACUGUAUGGAUAAAUGAAAGGUGCAAGCUCUCGAUUAGACGUAAGAGGUUUAAAACUGAACUAAAACUAUGAAUUCAACGGCUGCUCCUUUAAAGUACUUGUGUGGUUGGAGCUAUAUUAGCUUAUUGUUAGUAAUAAUACUAAUUUUAUUAUACAUGAAUGCAUUGAUAUGCAAAAUGUAAUUUCGCGUUUACAAGAGCUUACCAUGUACUGUAUGUAUAUAUGCGAAAUAAUUGAAGGAUUCGAGAUUAAUUUACAAUACCGGAGAUUGUAUAUUUAGUACAAUGAUGUAGUAAUUACAAUGGCUACUAAUAAUAUAUAGAUGCGUUAUAGAUAAUUUCGAAUUAUUAGUUGUUACAUAUUACACAAUUAGCGAUUAUAGACUGUUAUGUAAAGUAUAAACUAUGUAAGUUUCGUGUAAUGAUUUGUGUAAAUGUCCUUUCAUUGCUAAUUGUUUAGUAUCGUUUAUAAUAUGAAUACAUGUAUGGAAAUUAUGUAAAAAUUUACCGUACUUUGGAUGUAAAGUGAAAUUGUUAUGAGAGAUUUUUGCAUGUCACGAAAUAUUUCUUUAUUUCUAAAAAGAUAUAAUAUAUAAUGCGUAGAAAAUGAAAGGCAUAUGUCAAUAGAAUUAGUGUUUAAGAAAUUA